GUGGUAAUGCUGGACGCGUCCAGGCGCACCCAGAACCCUUUGUGAACUUAUACCUUACUGUUGCCUCGGCGCAUGCUGGCCCCCUCGGGGGCCCCUCGGAGACGAGGAGCAGGCACGCCGGCGGCCAAGUUAACUCUUGUUUUUACACUGAAACUCUGAGAAAAAAACACAAAUGAAUCAAAACUUUCAACAACGGAUCUCUUGGUUCUGGCAUCGAUGAAGAACGCAGCGAAAUGCGAUAAGUAAUGUGAAUUGCAGAAUUCAGUGAAUCAUCGAAUCUUUGAACGCACAUUGCGCCCUCUGGUAUUCCGGAGGGCAUGCCUGUUCGAGCGUCAUUUCAACCCUCAAGCAUUGCUUGGUGUUGGGGCACUGCCUGUAAAAGGGCAGGCCCUGAAAUCUAGUGGCGAGCUCGCCAGGACCCCGAGCGCAGUAGUUAAACCCUCGCUCUGGAAGGCCCUGGCGGUGCCCUGCCGUUAAACCCCCAACUUCUGAAAAUUUGACCUCGGAUCAGGUAGGAAUACCCGCUGAACUUAAGCAUAUCAAUAAGCGGAGGAA
RNAcentral lists this ribosomal RNA (555 nucleotides) under Diaporthe lithocarpi (nom. inval.). Its description in RNAcentral is "eukaryotic LSU rRNA". The stretch from base 182 to 335 matches the Rfam family "5.8S ribosomal RNA". The record is from RNAcentral. Lineage: Eukaryota; Fungi; Ascomycota; Sordariomycetes; Diaporthales; Diaporthaceae.